This 305-nucleotide ribosomal RNA is filed under the name uncultured bacterium. RNAcentral describes it as "bacterial SSU rRNA". It matches the Rfam family "Bacterial small subunit ribosomal RNA", at positions 334 to 654 of the family's 1533-position model. The record is from RNAcentral.
GCUUCCUACGGGACGCAGCAGUGGGGAAUAUUGGGCAAUGGACGCAAGUCUGACCUAGCAACGCCGCGUGAAGGAAGAAGGCUUUCGGGUUGUAAACUUCUUUUAAGGGGGAAGAGCAGAAGACGGUACCCCUUGAAUAAGCCACGGCUAACUACGUGCCAGCAGCCGCGGUAAUACGUAGGUGGCAAGCGUUGUCCGGGUUUACUGGGUGUAAAGGGCGUGCAGCCGGAGAGACAAGUCAGAUGUGAAAUACACGGGCUCAACCCGUGAGCUGCAUUUGAAACUGUCAGUCUUGAGUACCGGGG